This 70-nucleotide transfer RNA is filed under the name Ovis aries (sheep). It matches the Rfam family "tRNA". From Rfam's summary of the family: Transfer RNA (tRNA) molecules are approximately 80 nucleotides in length. Their secondary structure includes four short double-helical elements and three loops (D, anti-codon, and T loops). The record is from Rfam by way of RNAcentral. Lineage: Eukaryota; Metazoa; Chordata; Mammalia; Artiodactyla; Bovidae.
CCUGGUGGCUCAGACGGUAAAGCGUCUGCCUGCAAUGCGGGAGACCCGGGUUCGAUUCCUGGGUCCAGAA